RNAcentral lists this ribosomal RNA (504 nucleotides) under uncultured Rahnella sp. Its description in RNAcentral is "bacterial SSU rRNA". It matches the Rfam family "Bacterial small subunit ribosomal RNA", at positions 999 to 1503 of the family's 1533-position model. Lineage: Bacteria; Pseudomonadati; Pseudomonadota; Gammaproteobacteria; Enterobacterales; Yersiniaceae. The record is from RNAcentral.
GCCGAGAUGGCUUAGUGCCUUCGGGAACCGUGAGACAGGUGCUGCAUGGCUGUCGUCAGCUCGUGUUGUGAAAUGUUGGGUUAAGUCCCGCAACGAGCGCAACCCUUAUCCUUUGUUGCCAGCACGUAAUGGUGGGAACUCAAAGGAGACUGCCGGUGAUAAACCGGAGGAAGGUGGGGAUGACGUCAAGUCAUCAUGGCCCUUACGAGUAGGGCUACACACGUGCUACAAUGGCAUAUACAAAGAGAAGCGAACUCGCGAGAGCAAGCGGACCUCAUAAAGUAUGUCGUAGUCCGGAUUGGAGUCUGCAACUCGACUCCAUGAAGUCGGAAUCGCUAGUAAUCGUAGAUCAGAAUGCUACGGUGAAUACGUUCCCGGGCCUUGUACACACCGCCCGUCACACCAUGGGAGUGGGUUGCAAAAGAAGUAGGUAGCUUAACCUUCGGGAGGGCGCUUACCACUUUGUGAUUCAUGACUGGGGUGAAGUCGUAACAAGGUAACCGU